RNAcentral lists this ribosomal RNA (253 nucleotides) under uncultured bacterium. Its description in RNAcentral is "partial 16S ribosomal RNA". It matches the Rfam family "Bacterial small subunit ribosomal RNA", at positions 524 to 776 of the family's 1533-position model. The record is from RNAcentral.
UACGUAGGGGGCAAGCGUUUUCCGGAUCUACUGGGUGUAAAGGGAGCGUAGACGGCAGUGCAAGUCUGAAGUGAAAGGCAAGGGCUCAACCCUUGGACUGCUUUGGAAACUGUGCUGCUGGAGUGUCGGAGAGGCAAGUGGAAUUCCUAGUGUAGCGGUGAAAUGCGUAGAUAUUAGGAGGAACACCAGUGGCGAAGGCGGCUUGCUGGACGAUGACUGACGUUGAGGCUCGAAAGCGUGGGGAGCAAACAGG